Transfer RNA from Thermoplasma acidophilum DSM 1728, 73 nucleotides. It matches the Rfam family "tRNA". From Rfam's summary of the family: Transfer RNA (tRNA) molecules are approximately 80 nucleotides in length. NCBI's taxonomy places the organism in Archaea, Methanobacteriati, Thermoplasmatota, Thermoplasmata, Thermoplasmatales, Thermoplasmataceae. The record is from Rfam.
AGCCCUGUGGUGUAGUGGCCAAGCAUUAUGGGCUCUGGACCCAUCGACGGCAGUUCGAAUCUGCCCAGGGCUA